RNAcentral lists this ribosomal RNA (593 nucleotides) under uncultured Pseudozyma. RNAcentral's name for it is "LSU rRNA". It matches the Rfam family "Eukaryotic large subunit ribosomal RNA", at positions 81 to 657 of the family's 3401-position model. Lineage: Eukaryota; Fungi; Basidiomycota; Ustilaginomycetes; Ustilaginales; Ustilaginaceae. The record is from RNAcentral.
UAGUACGGCGAGCGAAGCGGGAAGAGCUCAAAUUUGAAAGCUGGCGUCUUCGGCGUCCGCGUUGUAAUCUCGAGACGUGUUUUCCGUGCGGCUCUAUGGACAAGUCCCUUGGAACAGGGCAUCGUAGAGGGUGAAAAUCCCGUACUUGCCAUGGAAGUACCGUGCUUUGUGAUACACGCUCCAAGAGUCGAGUAGUUUGGGAAUGCAGCUCAAAAUGGGUGGUAAAUGCCAUCUAAGGCUAAAUAUUGGGGAGAGACCGAUAGCGAACAAGUACAGUGAUGGAAAGAUGAAAAGAACUUUGAAAAGAGAGUUAAACAGUACGUGAAAUUGCCAAAAGGGAAGGGUAGGAGGUCAGAGAUGCGUCUUGGGAUUCAGCCUUGCUUUUGCAUGGCGUUUUUCCCAAGUUGCAGGCCAACGUCGGUUUUGGGCACCGGAGAAGGGUAGGAGGAACGUGGCACCUCUCGGGGUGUGUUAUAGCCUCCUACUGGAUACAGCGACCGAGACCGAGGAACGCAGCGUACUCGUAAGAGCGGGCCUUUUGGCACCUUUACGCUUAGGGCGUUGGCAUAAUGGCCCUCUACCACCCGUCUUGA